RNAcentral lists this ribosomal RNA (2088 nucleotides) under Triticum aestivum (bread wheat). Its description in RNAcentral is "partial small subunit ribosomal RNA". The record is from RNAcentral. Lineage: Eukaryota; Viridiplantae; Streptophyta; Magnoliopsida; Poales; Poaceae.
AUGAACCUGUGGACGGACGACAACGCCUCCAUGAUGGAGGCCUUCAUGGCCUCCGCCGACAUGCCGGCCUUCCCCUGGGGCGCUGCGGCCACCCCGCCGCCGCCGGCCGCCGUGCCGCAGCAGCCGGCCUUCAACCAGGACACGCUGCAGCAGCGCCUGCAGGCCAUCAUCGAGGGCUCCAGGGAGACCUGGACCUACGCCAUCUUCUGGCAGUCCUCCACCGACGCCGGCGCCUCGCUCCUCGGCUGGGGCGACGGCUACUACAAGGGCUGCGACGACGCCGACAAGCGCCGCCAGCAGCCCACCCCGGCCUCCGCCGCCGAGCAGGAGCACCGCAAGCGCGUCCUCCGGGAGCUCAACUCGCUCAUAGCCGGGGGAGGCGCCGCCGCGCCCGACGAGGCCGUCGAGGAGGAGGUCACGGACACCGAGUGGUUCUUCCUCGUCUCCAUGACCCAGUCCUUCCCCAACGGGAUGGGCUUGCCGGGCCAGGCGCUCUUCGCCGGCCAGGCCACCUGGAUCGCCACGGGGCUCGCCAGCGCGCCCUGCGAGCGGGCCAGGCAGGCCUACACCUUCGGCCUCCGCACCAUGGUCUGCAUCCCCCUCGGCACCGGCGUGCUCGAGCUCGGCGCCACCGAGGUCAUCUUCCAGACCAACGAUAGCUUGGGGAGGAUCCGCUCGCUCUUCAACCUCAACGGCGGAGGAGGGGGCUCUGGAUCCUGGCCGCCCAUCGCGCCGCCGCCGCAGGAGGCGGAGACGGAUCCGUCCGUGCUCUGGCUCGCCGACGCGCCGGCCGGGGACAUGAAGGAGUCGCCGCCGUCCGUCGAGAUCUCCGUCUCCAAACCGCCGCCGCCACAACCGCCGCAGAUCCAUCACUUCGAGAACGGGAGCACCAGCACGCUCACGGAGAACCCCAGUCUCUCCGUGCACGCGCAGCAGCCUCCGCCCCAGCAGGCGGCUGCGGCGGCGCAGAGGCAGAACCAGCACCAGCAGCAGCUCCAGCAUCAGCACCAGCUCCAGCUCCAGCACCAGCACAACCAGGGUCCUUUCCGCCGGGAGCUCAAUUUCUCAGAUUUCGCGUCCAACGCAUCCGUCACGGUGACCCCGCCUUUCUUCAAGCCCGAGUCUGGUGAGAUCCUAAACUUUGGCGCUGACAGCACCAGCCGGAGGAACCCUUCGCCGGCGCCCCCCGCCGCGACGGCCAGCCUCACCACCGCGCCCGGGAGCCUAUUCUCCCAGCACACGGCGACUGUGACGGCCCCGUCAAACGACGCCAAGAACAACCCGAAGCGGUCCAUGGAGGCCACCUCCCGCGCGAGCAACACCAACCACCACCAGAACGCCACAGCCAACGAGGGGAUGCUGUCCUUCUCGUCGGCGCCGACGACGCGGCCGUCCACCGGCACGGGCGCGCCAGCCAAGUCGGAGUCCGACCACUCCGACCUGGAGGCGUCGGUCCGCGAGGUGGAGAGCAGCCGCGUGGUGCCUCCGCCGGAGGAGAAGCGGCCGCGCAAGCGCGGGCGCAAGCCGGCGAACGGGCGCGAGGAGCCCCUGAACCACGUGGAGGCGGAGCGGCAGCGGCGGGAGAAGCUGAACCAGCGGUUCUACGCCCUCCGCGCCGUGGUGCCCAACGUGUCCAAGAUGGACAAGGCCUCGCUGCUGGGCGACGCCAUCUCCUACAUCAACGAGCUCCGCGGCAAGAUGACGGCGCUGGAGUCGGACAAGGAGACGCUCCACUCCCAAAUCGAGGCGCUCAAGAAGGAGCGCGACGCCCGGCCGGCCGCGCCGUCGUCGGGGAUGCACGACAACGGGGCGCGGUGCCACGCGGUCGAGAUCGAGGCCAAGAUCCUGGGGCUGGAGGCGAUGAUCCGCGUGCAGUGCCACAAGCGCAACCACCCGGCGGCGAAGCUGAUGACGGCGCUGCGGGAGCUGGACCUGGACGUGUACCACGCCAGCGUGUCCGUGGUGAAGGACAUCAUGAUCCAGCAGGUGGCGGUGAAGAUGGCCACCCGGGUCUACUCCCAGGACCAGCUCAACGCGGCGCUCUACGGCCGCCUCGCCGAGCCGGGCACCGCGAUGCAAAUCCGGUAA